GUAUUAAUUGCGUGUGAUCGCAAAAGAAAAACAUUCUACACUGUAUCGAGUUUGUGUGAAAACGUGAGCCCCCGAAAGGGGACCCACGCGGUGGUGCACAUAGGGGUGAGAUGGAUGUUUGAGAACGCUCGGGCGUGCACGACCUUUUGAAAGGUCAGCGACAGCCCUCGCACCCCCGUUGUAUGAUAAUGAUCCUUCCGCAGGUUCACCUACGGAAA
Molecule: unclassified non-coding RNA, 218 nt
Filed under: uncultured fungus
Lineage: Eukaryota; Fungi
Description: sequence contains ITS1
Source: RNAcentral